Molecule: RNA transcript, 1116 nt
Organism: Helianthus annuus (common sunflower)
Lineage: Eukaryota; Viridiplantae; Streptophyta; Magnoliopsida; Asterales; Asteraceae
Exons: 5
Source: RefSeq, a predicted model, not a curated record
UGGAUGCUUUCUUUGUUUUGUUUAGUUAAAUUGAUCGCGAAACUCCAAGAUGGAACUACAUUUUUGAAGAAAGGGUAUGAUGAGGUGUCAUUUAGGUUCAAAAUAGAUGAAGGUUUGACAUUGCUUAGAAGUGGUGGAAGAAUGGUUUACUCAACAUGCUCUAUGAAUCCUGUGGUAAAUGAGGCUGUAGUGUCGAGUGGAGGGAAGGAUUCCAACAGUGGGGAUGUUGUCGAACAGAGGACAUAUGCAAAAUGUAUAAUGCGUCUUUUGCAACGGCGGGUUAUCUAUUAAUUACCAGCAGGUUUGCGGAAGGAGUAUGGCAUCACAUAAAAAAGUUUGUUGAAUAUACCCUUGGGCCAAAAUAGUAAUACAAUUUGUGAAAAAAAUGAGUAUAAACGACUUGGAUUUUUCAGCGGCUCGAAGAAGAUUGAUUCAUGCAGUCUAUGCUUUAACGAUGUCGAGUAUAUGGAAAACAAGAAAUGGGAAAGUGUUCAAAGCAUGCUUACAUGAGAAGUCAUUUCUUCUUGAGGUCAAAACAUGAUAUAUGAAUGCACCUACACUUGUAGCCAAACAUGAUGUUGCGGUGGCUCGUGAUUUCUGAUGUCUAAUUCUUAUAUUGAUAAUAUGGGUUAGAGCAAGCACAUUUUUACUAUUUAAAAUAUGGUAUGACCAUUGUUAUAUUCCUAUAUGCUAUAUGUUUACCAAAUUUUUCGCUUACCAUGGUAGAUGCAAAGUUAUUAAACCAGGUUUUGUUAAGAAUUUUUUAAAAUGUUCAUUUGGAACGUACCAAUGGGAGUGUUUCGAGUUUGACAAAUUCACAGUUGGAACUGAGGCAACUGCAAAGAAGCUAGCUGAACUCAGUGGAAAGGGAGUGACUACAAUCAUUGGAGGUGGUGAUUCUGUGGCCACAGUAGAGAAAGUUGGAGUGGCGGAUGCGAGUUUGGAGUUAUUGAAAGGCAAAGUUCUCCCAGGUGUUGAUGCUUAAACGGGCGCAACUGUCUCUGCGUAAGACGUAGUUCUAAACCUGAUUCGUUAUUUUUUUUAAUGCUAACUCAACUAUGUUUAAGUGGGUCUGUAAACAAUAACAUGAGUUUGUCAUAGAUGUUUCAUCAUUAA